AAAUAGAUACCCGGGUAGUCCACGCCGUAAACGAUGAGUGCUAAGUGUUAGGGGGUUUCCGCCCCUUAGUGCUGCAGCUAACGCAUUAAGCACUCCGCCUGGGGAGUACGGUCGCAAGACUGAAACUCAAAGGAAUUGACGGGGGCCCGCACAAGCGGUGGAGCAUGUGGUUUAAUUCGAAGCAACGCGAAGAACCUUACCAGGUCUUGACAUCCCAUUGACCACUAUGGAGACAUAGUUUUCCCUUCGGGGACAACGGUGACAGGUGGUGCAUGGUUGUCGUCAGCUCGUGUCGUGAGAUGUUGGGUUAAGUCCCGCAACGAGCGCAACCCUUGUUCUUAGUUGCCAUCAUUUAGUUGGGCACUCUAAGGAGACUGCCGGUGACAAACCGGAGGAAGGUGGGGAUGACGUCAAAUCAUCAUGCCCCUUAUGACCUGGGCUACACACGUGCUCAAAUGGACGGUCAAAACGGUUGCCGAACCGCGAGGGGGAGCUAAGUCCGAUAAAACCGUUCUCGAGUUCGGAUUGUAGGCUGCAACUCGCUACAUGAAGGACCG
This 557-nucleotide ribosomal RNA is filed under the name uncultured bacterium. RNAcentral's name for it is "bacterial SSU rRNA". It matches the Rfam family "Bacterial small subunit ribosomal RNA", at positions 776 to 1334 of the family's 1533-position model. The record is from RNAcentral.